ACAAUAGAGCUGACCCUGGUGUGAGGGUCAGGUGAGCUGGCCAAGGGUAUGCGCAUGGGACAGUUGGCCCUGCCCCUUGCCAGCUGUGAUUCGAGGGCAAGCUAGCUGGGGCAGUACUAGACAGCUCGACAGGGUGGUACUGGUGCAGGAGAGCUGGUGGGCUGACCGACUCAGCUACCAACCAGGCCCAGAUUCAGGGCUUUGAGUCAGCCCACCCCAACAUCUACCCCAUCUAUGAACUGCUGGGUGGUGUGAAAAGCCCAGUCCUACAGAUCCAAAGCUGCAGGAUCUCCAUGACACAGGGCAAUAAUAACAGGGUGACUAGGGGGAGUCUCCAUGAAGAUCUAGUACUGAUGAUGUAGCAGAAGCCAGAUGCCUCCGACCAGAGCAGUGACUCCUUGCAAUGAACACUUGGUAGGACUUACAUCUAAUCAGAAAAGUGAUUGGACACUUCCAUGAUGUUCAUGCCACUGUCACACCAGUGGGCACACCUUGGCAGACCAGUUGUUACUGAAGCACAAUGGGUUUCCAGCUGGUUGACUACCAUGGGUACUGGCCAUCUAGUUCCUGAUUAACCAAAACUCGCCUAUGAUGUAGACCUAAGUCCCCACAUCAGCCCAGGCUCUUCUGGCCUGUAUCCCACCUCCCAGUGCUCAAACUCUUGGGCUCUUCUAGCUGGACACCGAUUCCCCCACCUCUAACUGUCUCAACAAAACUCUCAAUGCUUUCUAUGACAUUGAUGCCUCUACCCACCGAGGCAGCCUGGCAGCUUGAUCUCCCAAUAAACCGUUCUUUCUGCUCA
Mus musculus (house mouse) is the source of this 802-nucleotide long non-coding RNA. RefSeq annotates it as RIKEN cDNA 4930527A07 gene. NCBI's taxonomy places the organism in Eukaryota, Metazoa, Chordata, Mammalia, Rodentia, Muridae. The record is from RefSeq and is marked validated. The transcript is spliced from 3 exons.